CUCUCAACUCAAACUCCUUUGCAACAGAUUUCUGUGUAAAUCUAUUUAUGAGAGCCUGCCAUACUUCAAGUAAUCAGGGUUCAUCAUUUCUCCAGUCUCAGUUUGUAUCAUUCGAUUUGGAGGUUCUGCUUUCACGGAUUCGCCAGCUCCUGUAGUCAUGGAUCGCCAGCUCAUUCGUUC
Eucalyptus grandis is the source of this 180-nucleotide long non-coding RNA. RefSeq lists it as uncharacterized. The transcript has 3 exons. The record is from RefSeq and is a predicted model, not a curated record. Lineage: Eukaryota; Viridiplantae; Streptophyta; Magnoliopsida; Myrtales; Myrtaceae.